GACGAACGCUGGCGGCGCGCUUAACACAUGCAAGUCGAACGGAAAGGCCUGCUUUCCCUUGUGGAUUGCGGGUACUCGAGUGGCGAACGGGUGAGUAACACGUGAGUGAUCUGCCCCCAACUUGGGUAUAAGCCCGGGAAACUGGGUCUAAUUCCCGAUAGGACUGCAGGGUGGUGCCUGUGGUGGAAAACGAUUUUCUAGUGGUUGGGGAUGAGCUCGCGGCCUAUCAGCUUGUUGGUGGGGUAAUGGCCUACCACGGCGGCGACGGGUAGCCGGCCUGAGAGGGUGGACGGCCGCAUUGGGACUGGGAUACGGCCCAGACUCCUACGGGAGGCAGCAGUGGGGAAUAUUGCACCAUGGGCGGAAGCCUGAUGCAGCGACGCCGCGUGGGGGAUGACGGCCUUCGGGUUGUAAACUCCUUUCGACCGCGAGGAAGCCACCUGGUUGGAAGGGUGGUGACGGUAGUGGUAGAAGAAGCACCGGCUAACUACGUG
This 494-nucleotide ribosomal RNA is filed under the name uncultured bacterium. RNAcentral's name for it is "partial 16S ribosomal RNA". It matches the Rfam family "Bacterial small subunit ribosomal RNA", at positions 28 to 507 of the family's 1533-position model. The record is from RNAcentral.